CUGGCGGCGGCUGCGGGAUCUGUUCCGUGGGGCCUGCCCGGGGCCCGGGCUGAGCCAAGCCCAGUCCAGUCCAGCCCAGCCCAACCCAACCCAACCCAGCAUUGCCUUGCCUUGCCUUGCCUUGCCUUGCCCGCUCAGGGGGCACUGCUCUCGCGGUGUCGUGCGCUCUCCCGGCCGCGCGAUGCGCGAUGCUCGGCGGGCCCAGCUCUGGUGAGCAGCGGCAGCGAUGAGAAUUCGUGACUAGGGAUGAUUGAAGCUUCGUAAUAGCUGCGAGUUUGCAAUGCCUUGGGAGUGCUGGAGGUGUUGCCCAGGAAUAGCACUAUACUCUCCUCAAACGGGAAAUACCCGGUGUUCAGCAGCCCAUCAAAGCGGGUGUGCAGUCUCUGAAUAAGAUCGUGCAGGUCCAGAAAUUGCUUCUAGAAAAGCAGCAGCUACCUCCCAAGGGAAGGGUAACCCUCGGCCAUGUGAAACGGGAUGUGCCUUCUCUUGAAAGCCCUGAAGGGCAGCAGGAACCUCACAGCUGGCAGAAACAUCGCCCUCUUCUGGGAACAGAAAUGCGAAGUUGUUGAGAAUGUUUUUCAAAAAUGCAAAUGAGCUGUUUUCAACUCUUUUAUAUUUAUGACUGUAUUACUGUGAGACUGUUAAGAGUUUUAAUUUUGUAGUUACCCCACCUGCUGUUUCAUUAUUAAAGCCUUGGGUCUGAUUAAUCAAAAAUGUAUUCUGCAGUCAGAUCACAGCAGUUGUAUAAAAUUUGUAAGCAUGACUAUACUGUGAAAGCUAUUCAUGACCAAAACAACUUCUAAAGUUUCUGAUGUGUCUUAUGAGGAAGCAGUAUGGUAAAAUGGGUAAAAUGGGUAAAAUUAUGCCUAGAGGCAAAACAGAACCAUGAUGCUGCUCUGAGGGAUUUUCUUUCCUUUCAUGUAAAACCCCCCUCACCCAUACACACUACAUGCAGAGGGAGAGAGUUCAUGUGCAAGUUAUUUUCAUGAGAGCACUUGAAGAUGUAGAUACCAAAACGAUAUGGCUGACACAUGGCAAAAAUCAUAGGAAACCUUGGUAAAUUCUAUCCCCUACACCAUGCAGUUUAGUGCAAUUCUGUGUCUCUAAGGGAAAUUGUCAUUGAGCCAUUUGUUUCAAAAAUCAAAUAUUGUAUGAGGAGGGUAUCAAUGAAUCUUCACACUUCACUUAGAUCAAUAAACCUCUUUACAUCAGUCUUCAGCUUUCACUGCCUCCCAACUUUGCUGAAUUCUUACAACAGAAGAUGUGAUGAGAACUUGUAGUUCAUGUUUUCAUGGAAGUUUUCAUUUGAUAUUUGAAUAGCCUUCACUGUCAUGUAGUCUGGGGUUAACUUAUUUCUUCAGUUGUUGUGGAAUAUAUGCUUCCCCUACGUAUGUUUGUACAGAAGCUAACACCAGAAUGUUGCUUGUAUCUGGACUUUUUUUCCUUUACUACAGCUGUUAGUAGCUUGUAUGGGAGCUCGUGUCAGAAUUUUUUCAUAUUGGUGCUGCCAUAUUCAGCAAGUUUAAUGAGGUAAAAAAUGAAAGCAGCUCUGGAAAGCAAGUUUGAGGACAGUAGUGUCCAGAGUUGAGAGGGACAGAAGGUAACAGCAGAGAGGUUCACACUGAGGAUAGAAUUUGUUUACUUAUGCAGCACAAAAAGAUAUUAGCAGAAAUAGUGUAGAUGGAUAAAUUCUUCAGACUAAUGGUUUCAGUGCAGCUGAACACUGUAAAUCACAGAUUUCCCUAGUCUAUUAGACUCAGAACAGAACGAAAACAGCUUGUCUGAUGUCUGGAGCAGCUCAGAGAAACACUUAAUAUUAAUUCAUGAGGAAUAUGCUAUAAGAAGUCUGUUAAGAUUAAUUUUACAAAGGAAAACUUCCAAUCAUAUGAAUUACAUUUUAAAGAAAUAAAAUGAACUUACUUUUGGGAGCCCAGUCCUUAGUUGACCUUUCUGGUUGCAAAGCAAUUAGUUCCAUUACAAUGCUUUGGCAGUGCAAAAGGCACUGGGGAAUGGCAAAAUGUUCUCUGGAACUUAAUGAAAGUGAAUGGAGUUUUUAAAAGAAGAAAAGAACCUGCUAAAACCAGAAGUGCAUCUCUCAAGCUGAUUCCAGUCCCACUCAUGUAUGUGCUGUUUAGCUCAAGGAAGGAGUUUCAUUUUCUGAACAUGUUUGAUGUACCUGGUUAAAGACUAACACCAAGCUGCUGGAACAAGGCACCUUGCUCCAGAUAGUUACCCACAUGUUCUGACUGUAGUGCCAUCAGAGGGAGAGGCAGUGUGAAAACAUUCCUUGCUUUUGCCUUCAUUUCAUGUCAUUUCUGCCAAGUGCUGUCUUUGGCAGAAAACGUGACUGGCUGGAACUUCACUUUGGGUAUCAGAAGCCCAGUGCUGAAUAUCAGCAACAUCACUCAGCAUUUUCAGGGAGAACUAAAAUGGACAUAAAGCUUAUUGAGUUUUCUUUAUGAAUUAUGUGCAAUCUUGCACUGCCUGCCUUUCUCUUCUUUGCCCUCACAUGGUAGCUAGUUACUCUAGAGAAUUCUUACCAAAAGAAAAUUGAAUAUAGACUGUUUCAGCCUUUGAAA
Long non-coding RNA from Cyanistes caeruleus (blue tit), 2579 nucleotides. RefSeq lists it as uncharacterized. The record is from RefSeq and is a predicted model, not a curated record. Lineage: Eukaryota; Metazoa; Chordata; Aves; Passeriformes; Paridae.